Piliocolobus tephrosceles (Ugandan red Colobus) is the source of this 390-nucleotide long non-coding RNA. RefSeq lists it as uncharacterized. The record is from RefSeq and is a predicted model, not a curated record. The transcript has 3 exons. NCBI's taxonomy places the organism in Eukaryota, Metazoa, Chordata, Mammalia, Primates, Cercopithecidae.
UAUAAAUUAUUCCUUAAUUAUGUAUGUAUAUUACAAGGGAUUACCAAUGGAUAUGUUACUUAUGAUUUUUGUAUUUUGUUUAAAUUCAGACAUAAAUCUGGAUAUUUAUUUUAACAUAUAUGAAGAGGCACUACUUUCAAAUAAUAAAAAAAGUAAUGCUAAUAAAAUUUUUCAAUUUUUUGGAUUGAGUAUUGAAAAAUUAAGAAAAUUUCGCUUAAAAAAUACUAAAAAAAUAUAUGACGCCUCAAGUAGCAUUUUGAAACAAAAAAUUAACAUUGGUCAUAUUUAUGAAACUUUUGAAUGGGCUAAAAUAAAGCGAUUUUAUUUUUCUUUGGUCAUUUUUGAUUUAUUCACUGAAGACAUAUUAGACGUUUCAAAAAAGUAUUUAAA